GAGGUUGUGGCUCAGUGGUAGAGCGCUCGCCUCGCACAUGAGAGACCGAGUUCGAUCCUCAGCACCACA
This 69-nucleotide transfer RNA is filed under the name Marmota monax (woodchuck). RNAcentral describes it as "tRNA.Ala". Lineage: Eukaryota; Metazoa; Chordata; Mammalia; Rodentia; Sciuridae. The record is from RNAcentral.